GAUGAAGAACGUAGCGAAAUGCGAUAAGUAAUGUGAAUUGCAGAAUUCAGUGAAUCAUCGAAUCUUUGAACGCACAUUGCGCCCGCCAGUAUUCUGGCGGGCAUGCCUGUUCGAGCGUCAUUUCAACCAUCAAGCCCCAGGCUUGUGUUGGGGACCUGCGGCUGCCGCAGGCCCUGAAAACCAGUGGCGGGCUCGCUGUCACACCGGGCGUAGUAGAUUUUAUCUCGCUCAGGGCGUGCUGCGGGUUCCGGCCGUUAAAAAACCUUUUUUACCCAAGGUUGACCUCGGAUCAGGUAGGAAUACCCGCUGAACUUAAGCAUAUCAAUAAGCGGAGGA
RNAcentral lists this unclassified non-coding RNA (336 nucleotides) under soil metagenome. RNAcentral describes it as "partial contains 5.8S ribosomal RNA, internal transcribed spacer 2, and large subunit ribosomal RNA". The stretch from base 1 to 120 matches the Rfam family "5.8S ribosomal RNA", at positions 35 to 154 of the family's 154-position model. The record is from RNAcentral.